This is a long non-coding RNA of Triticum aestivum (bread wheat), 870 nucleotides long. RefSeq lists it as uncharacterized. Lineage: Eukaryota; Viridiplantae; Streptophyta; Magnoliopsida; Poales; Poaceae. The transcript has 5 exons. The record is from RefSeq and is a predicted model, not a curated record.
GAGAGAUAGCCAUGGCGAUUUGGAGCUCCGCCUCACCGCUCAAUCCAGUGUUUUGGUGGUGACUCGUCCGCGCUCUCCCUCGUGCUGCCCCGCUUCCUCCGCCUCCCUUCUGUUCCUGCCGGCGGGAUCUGCGGCAUCUCUCGGCCCCGCACCGAUCCGUCCCCAUUUCCGUCGCUGGCGAUUUUGUUCGUCGGAUUCAGUCCCCCCCCCCUCCCUUUUUGUUGUUCUUGUGAUCUGUUAGGUUAUAGAUUAAAGUAUGGGGAGACUCAUGAAGGCUUUUGGUAAGGGCACUUCUGUUGCUUGUGUUCAAGAUUGUGAUGAUUCAGAUGGGGAUCCUUUUGUCCCCAAUGAUUUUGCUGAGGAUGAUCCUUUUCAAGAUUCGGAGGAACGUCAAAUGGAUGAUCAUGAUUUCGAGAAAGUCUUAGGCUAUGCUUUUUAGCUGCUUUUUUCUAGUCUGGCUCUGAUAAAGAUGGGGAUUGUUUUCUGCUACUAGAAAGCCAUAUGUUAAGGAAAUCAACUUCAUCUUCAUUGAGAUUUGUUCACGCAGGAGAGAGACGACAGGAGGUGAUGAAUGCACAGGAGACGCGGGGGGGGGGGGGGGGGGUGUUACCUGUGAUUUAUUUUUUGCUUCUCCAGCCAUGUUUGUGUCUAGAACUCUAGAUCAUGGAGGAAUCGCCCUCUCUGGUGCCGCUUCUCUGGGGUACAUUUAGCACUUUCUCAGUGGAAUUGCAGUGUAAUUCUUUUGUGUGUUUUAAGUGGUAUUUACAGUGUACUUUUAGUGUAAUUACUGUGCAUUUUCAGUGAAAUUUACACUGUAUUUGUUAGUGGAAUUUACACUGUAAAUGUUAGUGGGUUUACAGUGUACUUCUA